This 1016-nucleotide long non-coding RNA is filed under the name Nicotiana benthamiana. Its description in RNAcentral is "long non-coding RNA (NBEN_LNC022897)". The record is from RNAcentral. Lineage: Eukaryota; Viridiplantae; Streptophyta; Magnoliopsida; Solanales; Solanaceae.
CAAAACCGCUAAACAUGAUGCAAACCACGUUGAGACCUAAAUAUUCCACGACGCCGACUUCUUAUUUCUCUGACUUAUAGCUAGUUCUUAACUUCAAAUCAUCCGUCUUCUACAAAAAAUACAAGAAAACAUAACAAUUAUGGAUAUUCAUAGUGAUUUAAUCAAGCAAGUUCAAAGUUUCGAUCUUUACAAUUUCAACGGUUUUUUCUGGAUUGAAUUGAUUCUAUAAGAUGAAAAGGUAUUUAUAAUCUAUUACUAUCUUAUAAUUCUUUUUUAAAUUUGCAUAUGUGCAUAUAAUCAAUAGCAAAAACCUGAUUGAAAUAUGUGUGCCUUAAAUAUGUUUCUCAGUGGUAUAAUAAGCAUAUAUCAUGUUAUUUUCCCUGAUGGCUUCUUUUGGUGGUACUGAUAUUGCAUCUUUUCGUCUUCUUGAGCCGAUGGUCUUUCGGAAAUAACCUCUCUACUCUCUCAGGGUAAGAGUAAGGUAUGCGUACACACGCACCUCCCCAAACUGGGUUGUUGUUAUUGUUAUUGUUGUUUGUGAACUUAAAAUUAUCAUAUUACUUUCUAUUUAACAUGUUCUAAUUCUUUAAAUGCAAUUGGGGAAAUCCCCAUUUUUAGUGAGGUCCAAACAUACAAACAAGGUGAAAUUUCUAUAAAGAUUAUGAAUGUCGAACUUAAAGAUAUUGAGUAAGAAUAAAUGCUCAUUCACUGAUUACGGAUUAAUUUGGCAAUUACAUAUGCUAAAAAUUAUCUUUCUAUUUCGAUUUGGCAGGACAAAGAACCGCUACAUUCUGGGGGAAAUUAUUGAUCAAAUUGUGCCUCAUCUGUCAAGCUUUAACAACCACCCUAUAGUUGUUGCUAUGCGACUUAUAAAAGCAUAUAAAUUUCAAGAUAAAAUGCAAUUAUUCACAUGUCUUUACUUUGUGAGAAGUUAUUUCAUUACAUCUUACACAUAUGUUAUUUCGCAAUACUUGGAAUGUAUCAAAGUUUUGGAUUAAUCCAAUUUUUCCUCAAUA